Molecule: unclassified non-coding RNA, 382 nt
Filed under: Hevea brasiliensis (rubber tree)
Lineage: Eukaryota; Viridiplantae; Streptophyta; Magnoliopsida; Malpighiales; Euphorbiaceae
Source: RNAcentral
GGCUGAUGUUGUUCUCGUGUCUGCUGGUAGAACUCCAUUCACUUCUGGUCUUGGACUCGAGAAGUUAGGAGUGGAAACAGAUAAGAUAGGUCGGAUUUUAGUAAAUGAUAGAUUUGCCACAAAUGUGCCUGGAAUCUAUGCUAUUGGAGAUGUAAUUCCCGGGCCGAUGUUAGCUCACAAGGCUGAAGAAGAUGGUGUUGCUUGUGUGGAGUUUUUAGCUGGUAAGACAGGUCACGUCGACUAUGACAAGGUCCCUGGGGUUGUAUAUACACAUCCUGAGGUUGCCUCUGUUGGGAAGACAGAGGAGCAGGUGAAGGCGCUCGGAGUUGCUUAUCGUGUUGGCAAGUUUCCAUUCAUGGCAAACAGUCGAGCCAAGGCAAUC